This 447-nucleotide ribosomal RNA is filed under the name uncultured bacterium. RNAcentral describes it as "bacterial SSU rRNA". It matches the Rfam family "Bacterial small subunit ribosomal RNA", at positions 355 to 825 of the family's 1533-position model. The record is from RNAcentral.
UCGGGAAUUUUGGACAAUGGGCGAAAGCCUGAUCCAGCCAUGCCGCGUGAGUGACGAAGGCCUUAGGGUUGUAAAACUCUUUCGUCGGGGACGAUAAUGACGGUACCCGAAGAAGAAGCUCCGGCUAACUUCGUGCCAGCAGCCGCGGUAAUACGAAGGGAGCUAGCGUUGUUCGGAAUCACUGGGCGUAAAGCGCACGUAGGCGGAUAGUUAAGUCAGGGGUGAAAUCCUGGGGCUCAACCCCAGAACUGCCUUUGAUACUGGCUGUCUCGAGGUCGAGAGAGGUUGGUGGAAUUCCUAGUGUAGAGGUGAAAUUCGUAGAUAUUAGGAAGAACACCAGUGGCGAAGGCGGCCAACUGGCUCGAUACUGACGCUGAGGCGCGAAAGCGUGGGGAGCAAACAGGAUUAGAUACCCAAGUAGUCCCUGAGCGGGCUGGCAAGGCGCAU